Otolemur garnettii (small-eared galago) is the source of this 294-nucleotide unclassified non-coding RNA. It matches the Rfam family "Metazoan signal recognition particle RNA". Rfam says of the family: The signal recognition particle (SRP) is a universally conserved ribonucleoprotein. Lineage: Eukaryota; Metazoa; Chordata; Mammalia; Primates; Galagidae. The record is from Ensembl.
GCACAGUGGCACAUACCCGGGACCCCCAGCUACUGGGGAGCUGAAGGGAGGAUCAGUUGAGCUCAAGAACUCUGAGUUGUAGUGAGCUGUGACGAUCAGGCAUCUGCACUAAGCUCAGCACCAAUAUGGUGACCUCCUGGGAGCAGACGACCACCUGUUGCCUGAGGAGAGGUGAACUGGCCCAGGUCAGACACAGACCUGGGCCACACUCCUAUGCUGAUUAGUAGUGGGCUUGCAACUGCCAAUGGCCAGUGGACUCCAGCCUGAGCAACACAGUGAGACUGUGUCUCUGUU